This 445-nucleotide ribosomal RNA is filed under the name uncultured bacterium. RNAcentral's name for it is "SSU rRNA". It matches the Rfam family "Bacterial small subunit ribosomal RNA", at positions 26 to 518 of the family's 1533-position model. The record is from RNAcentral.
AGAGCGAACGCUGGCGGCAGGCCUAAUACAUGCAAGUCGAACGAACCCUUCGGGGUUAGUGGCGGACGGGUGAGUAACACGUGGGAACGUGCCUUUUGGUUCGGAACAACUCAGGGAAACUUGAGCUAAUACCGAAUGUGCCCUUCGGGGGAAAGAUUUAUCGCCAUUAGAGCGGCCCGCGCCUGAUUAGCUAGUUGGUGGGGUAAAGGCCCACCAAGGCUACGAUCAGUAGCUGGUCUGAGAGGAUGAUCAGCCACACUGGGACUGAGACACGGCCCAGACUCCUACGGGAGGCAGCAGUAGGGAAUCUUGCGCAAUGGGCGAAAGCCUGACGCAGCCAUGCCGCGUGAAUGAUGAAGGUCUUAGGAUUAGUAAAAUUCUUUCAGCGGGGACGAUAAUGACGGUACCGCAGAAGACGCCCGGCUAACUUCGUGCCAGCAGCCGC